AAAAAAACAAACAAAUAUUCAAGGCAAGAAAUAAGAGAAAAUACCAAGAGUACCGGUCCGAGCUCGUCGAUUGUGGGACUCCGGCGGUGCUAUGCGGUUGAUUCCGGCAGCUGGUUAUCGACAGGUUUGCGUUGGAGGGGUCGUGGAUCGGUAGUGGUGUUAUGCGGUAGAUCUUGGUUGUGGUGUGUUGACGGUGUUGGAUCUGAUCCGUGCAAAUUUGCUGAAUCCUUUGCAUUUCUUCCCGAUCUGCUUCGCUUCAAAUUCCUUGGUCUACCCUGUCAUAAAAAGAAAAACAGUACAUUGUUGUUGUUCUUUAGUAUUGUUGUUAUACAAAGUUUACAGGUUCUAUAG
This is a non-coding RNA of Vicia faba (fava bean), 351 nucleotides long. The record is from the annotation of a GenBank genome assembly. Lineage: Eukaryota; Viridiplantae; Streptophyta; Magnoliopsida; Fabales; Fabaceae.